AUUGAACGCUGGCGGCAUGCUUUACACAUGCAAGUCGGACGGCAGCACAGAGAAGCUUGCUUCUUGGGUGGCGAGUGGCGAACGGGUGAGUAAUAUAUCGGAACGUACCGAGUAAUGGGGGAUAACUAAUCGAAAGAUUAGCUAAUACCGCAUAUUCUCUGAGGAGGAAAGCAGGGGACCUUCGGGCCUUGCGUUAUUCGAGCGGCCGAUAUCUGAUUAGCUAGUUGGUGGGGUAAAGGCCUACCAAGGCGACGAUCAGUAGCGGGUCUGAGAGGAUGAUCCGCCACACUGGGACUGAGACACGGCCCAGACUCCUACGGGAGGCAGCAGUGGGGAAUUUUGGACAAUGGGCGCAAGCCUGAUCCAGCCAUGCCGCGUGUCUGAAGAAGGCCUUCGGGUUGUAAAGGACUUUUGUCAGGGAAGAAAGGGCUGUUGCUAAUACCGACAGCUGAUGACGGUACCUGAAGAAUAAGCACCGGCUAACUACGUG
This 490-nucleotide ribosomal RNA is filed under the name uncultured bacterium. RNAcentral's name for it is "partial 16S ribosomal RNA". It matches the Rfam family "Bacterial small subunit ribosomal RNA", at positions 30 to 507 of the family's 1533-position model. The record is from RNAcentral.